Myotis brandtii (Brandt's bat) is the source of this 75-nucleotide non-coding RNA. NCBI's taxonomy places the organism in Eukaryota, Metazoa, Chordata, Mammalia, Chiroptera, Vespertilionidae. The record is from Rfam.
GGCAAUUCUCAGGCGACACACCCUGGAAUCGGACUCCCUCCUCUCUGGUGUCAGGUGAGUCACCCAAGAACCGCA